AACGUAGGAGGCGAGCGUUAUCCGGAUUUACUGGGCGUAAAGCGUACGCAGGUGGCUUCGUUAGUCGGACGUGAAAGCUCCUGGCUUAACUGGGAGAGGCCGUUCGAUACUGCGGGGCUUGAGGUUGGAAGAGGGGUGCGGAAUUCCUGGUGUAGUGGUGGAAUGCGUAGAUAUCAGGAGGAACACCUGUGGCGAAAGCGGCACCCUGGUCCACACCUGACGCUGAGGUACGAAAGCGUGGGUAGCAAACAGG
This 253-nucleotide ribosomal RNA is filed under the name uncultured bacterium. RNAcentral's name for it is "partial 16S ribosomal RNA". It matches the Rfam family "Bacterial small subunit ribosomal RNA", at positions 524 to 776 of the family's 1533-position model. The record is from RNAcentral.